This 682-nucleotide ribosomal RNA is filed under the name Pelodryas gilleni (Centralian tree frog). Its description in RNAcentral is "Litoria gilleni (Centralian tree frog) partial 12S ribosomal RNA". It matches the Rfam family "Bacterial small subunit ribosomal RNA", at positions 218 to 1289 of the family's 1533-position model. Lineage: Eukaryota; Metazoa; Chordata; Amphibia; Anura; Pelodryadidae. The record is from RNAcentral.
CUUAUAGGAAUAAGGAGCCGGUAUCAGGCACAUUAUUUUGCCCAAGACACCUAGCUAUGCCACACCCACAAGGGACUUCAGCAGUGAUUAAUAUUGAACAUAAGCGACAGCUUGAUUCAGUUAAAGUACACAAAGCCGGCAAAUCUGGUGCCAGCCGCCGCGGUUACACCAAGAGGCUUAAGUUGACUUCGAUCGGCGUAAAGCGUGAUUAAAGUCAUUAAAAAAAUAAAGUCAAACCACUACUAAGCUGUAGUACGCUUGUAUUGUAGGAAUCUCAUAAACGAAAGUUACUUUAACAACAACAACUUGAACUCACGAAAGCUAGGGAACAAACUGGGAUUAGAUACCCCACUAUGCCUAGCCAUAAACUUUAAAUUACACCCCAAUCGCCUGGGAACUACGAGCAGAGCUUAAAACCCAAAGGACUUGACGGUACCCCAUAUCCACCUAGAGGAGCCUGUCCUAUAAUCGAUAACCCCCGCUUAACCUCACCAUUUUUAGCCUAUCAGCCUGUAUACCUCCGUCGUCAGCUUACCACGUGAGCGAAGUUCAGUAAGCUUAAUGUCCAUACGUCAAUACGUCAGGUCAAGGUGCAGUAAAUAAAAUGGGAAGAGAUGGGCUACAUUUUCUAUCAUAGAAUAAACGAAAGACUAUUUAUGAAAUCUAGUCAGAAGGCGGAUUU